RNAcentral lists this ribosomal RNA (376 nucleotides) under uncultured bacterium. Its description in RNAcentral is "bacterial SSU rRNA". It matches the Rfam family "Bacterial small subunit ribosomal RNA", at positions 521 to 895 of the family's 1533-position model. The record is from RNAcentral.
UAAUACAGAGGGGGCGAGCGUUGUUCGGAAUUACUGGGCGUAAAGGGCGCGUAGGUGGCCUGUUAAGUCGAACGUGAAAUCCCCGGGCUCAACCCGGGAACUGCGUCCGAGACUGGCAGGCUUGAAUCCGGGAGAGGGAUGUGGAAUUCCAGGUGUAGCGGUGAAAUGCGUAGAUAUCUGGAGGAACACCGGUGGCGAAGGCGGCAUCCUGGACCGGUAUUGACGCUGAGGCGCGAAAGCCAGGGGAGCAAACGGGAUUAGAUACCCCGGUAGUCCUGGCCCUAAACGAUGAAUGCUUGGUGUGGCGGGUAUCGAUCCCUGCCGUGCCGAAGCUAACGCAUUAAGCAUUCCGCCUGGGGAGUACGGUCGCAAGGCU